This 29385-nucleotide long non-coding RNA is filed under the name Coffea arabica (coffee). Its description in RNAcentral is "long non-coding RNA (CARA_LNC002886)". Lineage: Eukaryota; Viridiplantae; Streptophyta; Magnoliopsida; Gentianales; Rubiaceae. The record is from RNAcentral.
AUGUUUAACUGAUUCUAUAUAUGUUGUGUGGUGCGAAGCUUGGGAGAACUUUUUCUGCAGAAGUCCGCAGGCCCUUCCGGCAAAGCUUGUCAGUUGACAUUUUCGUUUUGCAUGGUGAGUUGUUUUAGGUUGGCAAUUGUUACUUGUCCGAUCCAGCAAGGAGUCUAUGCUGAAGUGCUGCUUUUGCAGGAAAAAAUAGAUGAAUCAAGAAUGCUACUCCUCACCCACUAAUGCUUCCUAGUGUCUAAUUAUUUUCUGUCUCUGAAAUUUAUCUAGUCUUUCCCCCCUGUAACCAAGCUAUGUCCUACUCCAAAGAAUUGAUACUUGAUUUGUUAGAAAAGAUGAUGUUAAUUUUCCUACCCAUUAGACUUUUGGAUAAUAUUCAAGAAAUAGGUGCUUUUCUCCUUGGCUUUUGUAGGGUUUUUCUCUGAAAUUUAUUUAUUGAUUUGAAAAUUGUGGGAUCAUAAUUUAUGUUGAAGUUAACUUAUCAUAUGUGAUGCCCAACUAAUUUGGUACCCUGAAUGAGUUUAUUGAGGAUACAAUAAUGUUCUUUAGCAUUGUUUCUUUCUAAUACAAUUCCACCAAGUGGAGUGGCUCUAAACCUAUUUAGAUGGGUGUCAAAUGUCAAUAAUGGCUUAUUGCAAAUCCUUGUUUGGGAAAGGUACAUAAGUGCUGCCAAAUGUAAACUAAUAAAACACCAAAUUCUAUGAAUCUACAAGGUUAUGGAUAUUUGGCUCCUAUCUGGAUUUAUUAUUUUUAGGAGUUUUUAUAGAAAAAUGUACUGUAAUGAUUUGAUAUAUGUGAGGUAAAAAGAAAAGUGAAUAGAAAAUGUGUUAAUGAAAAAUGUAGAAAAUUUUUGUACAGAAAACUAUAAUCUAAACAAAGAGGAAUCAUUUAUCUAAAACUUUACUCAAUCAAUCCAACUUUUCAAAUGUGGUCAAAUCCAUUUGCAACAUUGACAAUUAUUACAAUGGAUUUGGGCAACCAUUGAAAAUAUGGUCUAAUUGAGUGAUCCAAUUGCACAUAUGUGUUAUCAGUCGAUGGAUGUGGGUCAUGAUACACAUAUGUGUAUCACACAGCUUUAUGUUUAGUUACAAUAUUUAACAUUUUCAUAUUUUCUUUUACAACUCGUUUUAUUGGUGCACGUAUGAUAUUGAAAGAGAAAAGGUGAGCGUUAAAUUUACAAAAUAUAUAAUGAUUUAAAAUUUACUUUUACAUAUAUAAGUGACAUGUAUAUACAUUACAAAAGAGAUAAUUAGAACUUUGGUAUCAAAUGUUUGAGCAUCGGCGGUUUUAGUCUUUAAAGUAUUGACAAAAACAAAUCUAGUUCUAAGUAUUUUAAUUUCUAAACACAUUUAGUCCAAUUAACUGAUUUUGGCAAUUUAUUACUGGAAUUCGGUUACAUCAGUAGUAAGUGUCGGCAGCUAAAUUUUCAAAAAUUAGAAAAAAAUGGAAAAAAUGUUGGUGGCCAUAAUUUGUAAUUAAAAGGCACUAAUUAGUUGCAAGAUGAGUAAUUAGUCUUUACUAUUUAGCUACAUGACUAUUGUGCAAGCGAGUAAUUAGUGCCCUUUAAUUACAAAUUAUGGGUUACAAACAUUUUUUUUUCUUUUUUUCCUAAUUUUUUCAAAAUUUAAUCACCGACACAUGCUACUUAAGUGACCGAAUUCCAGUAUCAAUUUGUCAAAACUAGUAAAAUAUGCUUAGAAAUUGAAACGUUUAGAACUAGAUUUGCUUUCGUCCAAACUUUUAAGGACUAAAACUACCGAUACCUCAAACAUUUGAUACCAAAACUGUAAUUUUCUCGAUAACAAAAUCUUGUUCAAAAUAACUGAUCAUACUAGUUAUGGGUUCUAAUAAAAAUUGUGAUUUCAUAAGCAAAAGGUAGUCUAAAUGUGGAUGGUUUGAGUUGUAAUUUUUAUUUUGGCAAACUAAGGGCCUAAAAGAAUUGCAGAAGAAUUCAUAGAAAGGAUGUGCCAAAUGGCAAACUAAUAAAAACAUCGUAAUCUAAAAUCUUUUUUCUAUGAAAGGCGUGAAUAACGAACAUAUAUUGAUUCAUCUACAAUACGCAGCACUUUGAACUACGAGACCUGCACCAGAAUAGGCCCCAACAAAUAAAAAAUAAAACAUGUCUGGUCACCUGUCAAAAUUGCUCUUGACAAAGAGAAUAUCCAAUCCAUGUAUUCGAAUAAGUUGCUUUGAGACUUAACAGUCUCGACUGAAGUCUUAUAAGGAAAAUCCUUGACCGCCAGAUGAUCAAAAGCAAACACAUCAAACAAAAGAAAAGUAGAAUUGCACCAAGUAAUGCAACAUUCCUACUCAAAAUGAUGAUCCUCCUCAAAGCUGCAGAAAUGGCACUUCUUCAUCAAGCCUUCUUGAAGGUCAGUACAUUUUCAUUUGUACCCAUUUCUGCAAAUUUCAUGAUUAAUUUGAUGUGCAAUUUGAAUUGUAUUUUUUUCACCUCUGAUUAAUAUGUAUUGCUUCCUUUAUUUGUGGUUGCUCUUCUCCUAUAUUAAGUGAUAAAUAUUCUCCUGCUAAUGUUCCUCUUGGGAUGCUUCUGCAAAUUCACCAUUACUUGUAAAUUCUGGAGAAUUUAGAGAAUCGUAAGGAGUUCUACUUCCUCAUUACAUGGAUUUUCUGUCUGAACUCAGUAAGUGCCUGCUGUUUAGCUUGUUUAAAUACUUUGAUGCAUGUCCUAUCCCAUGAUUCUUACCUUGGGAAACCUCAAUGAAUGGUCUUCCUCUAUCAGUGUCAUGCGUUAAAAUUCGCAGAUUCUACUGAAAUACAUUGAACUUGAUUCUUGCGUUGCGAGCACUCGUAUUUCGAGUCCCGCUGCCAGCUAAAGCAGUUUAGUUGUUGAUCUAUAAGAGCCACUGUUAGCCGCCUUGGUGUACCUCUAGCAUGCCUUGGCCUUAAAAUGAGGUGACCUUCCUCUCCUGCUAAAAUUUUUCUUGUCAAAAUAACAGAAGUACGUGUUAUUGAUACAAGGGAAACUGAUGAUUGAGGAUGCAUUAAGUUAGAAUUUCUCACACCACCCCUCACCCAUAAGAAAAAUGCAAAUAAAAAAGAAGAAGAAGAAGAAAAGAGACAGCUCAAAACAGUGACACUAGCCAAAGAGAUAUUGUCUCAUUGGAAGGAGAGUUCGAUGACUUGUAACUGUUCAUGGUAUUGAAAUUUGACAUUCAUAUUUAAACUCAAAAUGCUUUAAUUACAGUGAAUUGGAAAUAUACAUGUUAUCUACACGAAGAAUCAACUUCCUAAGGUAGUGAAAGUUGAAAUGGAGAGAUAUUAUGCUACAAGUUUCCUUGUUGAGGAGGCAAUUGGUUAUUUGAACAUCUUCCGUUUCUGGACCUAAUGCUUAGUCUUUAUAGUAAACUAUAUUCCUGAAGGUUUUUCAGGAAGGUCUCUCCAACAAGGGAACCAUCCUUGACAAAAACAGCAGGAUUCCCUAUUGGAGCUUCUAUCCAAGCUUCAGUACCCUGUGAAUACAGGUUUCCUGUCCAAAUGUGCUUCCACAAGCAGCUUUCUCCAACUGGGAAAUAAGCCUUCACAGUUCCCUUCCCCUUGUCAAGAACAGGCACAACUAGGAUCUCGGUACCAACUAGAAAUUGCUCAUAGGUGAAGCUGUGAACACGUUCAUCAUCUGGAUAGUGGAGGAAUAGAUGGCGACAUACAGGUAGACCUUUUAGGGAGGCUUCCUGUAUAUACAGAAGAAAAGAUUAACAUUUGGGUGUUUUGGCUAAAUGAAAUUUUAAGGCAAGUUUAAAAUAUCUGAGAAUCACCUUUAUUAGUUGAACCCUGUAAAACUUCCAGGCUUGAUAUAUUUUUGCUAAGCGUGCGAAAUGUGACAAUGUUUUGUGGUUUGUGUAGAACAGGCUGUUGCAGGAUGGCUUGUUUCCCUGAUUGCAUAUAUGCGAACCACCAAAAUUAUUUUGUUAGAAUAUGCAAUAGUCAAACAAAGUACUACUGUGUAUUUUGGUCGCUUUAGGUGGAAGUUUUUUACUUACUUCAUGUGUUCGGAACACAGUGGUGAAUGCAUUUAGCUCCAUCCACCGCAAGAGCAAUUCUUCACUUCUUCGGUAUUUGAAAAAUGGUAAAUUUACUGAACAGUAGCCUCCGAUGUCACUAUGGUUCAAGGCAUAGCCAGAAAUUCCACCACUCAGCAAGCCAACCACUGAGCUUUUUAUGCCAUCGUUGGUUUGCCAGCUUACCAUUUGAUCCCCUUCCCAGAACAGCAUUGCCCAUCUGGGGCUGUCCCUGAACCCAGCCCUCAUAAAGAAAACCAACCCAUCAUCUUGGCCUUGCUGUUCCUUUGUACCAUGACUAUGAGAAUUUCGCCACUCGUCCACAAACUCCCUGUUGAGUUUGGCCCAAAGCUCUGGAUACCUGUUGUGGGCAGCCACUGGAUCUUCACCUGGAGAAAAAGUGAAUUACCAUCAUCAAAUUGGCGAGCUAUUAUUCAUUUACAUGAAUACAAAGUUGCUUGAUAAAGUACCUUGUGCUGAGUUUUGCCUACCAGUAUUUGGUUGAUAAUCACACAGGCCAAUUUUCCUUUCUGACAAAUAACUCUCCAGUAUUAUAUAUUUAUAUUAUUUUCUGACUACUUAACACAUUGACCAGCAGAUUUUGUCAUGCCUUUAGCAAAUUCUCAAAUAAAAGUUUGACGACUUUUGCUGUCUUGGUAUAUCUUGUUCUUCUGAAGAUUUAUUCUUGUAGACAUAUGCUUUUUUCCUAUGUGCAUUAUUACUCUACUUUCAUCGGUCUUUCAAGUCAAAGGAUGUCAAAGGAAAAGAUAGCCAUUAUGAUCUUAGCAUUUUCAGUCCAGAUGGCAUGAUGUCUCUUUGUUUCUUACUCUAUAUCUGAAUUUAAUUAAACUAUCAAGUGGCCCUAACAUCUCUUGUAAUGAGAAUUUUGUGUUCAACCUGAAUAUAGGUGAGCAUCUACCGGAAGGCCUUCACCAAAAUCUGCCAUCCACCCCCUGACUCCAUCAUCCACCAUGCCUCGCAAAAUCUGCUUAAACCAGCUUGCUGUUGAUGGAUGUGUCAAAUCCAACAUUCCCACAUCAAAAGCUGUAUUUGGAACCAUAUAAGGUUCUCCAUGAUUGUCUUUUAUUAGUAUGUCCAACUUCUUUGCCUCCUCAUAGAGAUUUCUCCUGACAUUAGGUUUGUUAUCCAUCUGCAUCAGUGAAAAGAGUUCAAUUUUAAAAUGCCAUAAUAGAAUCUCAAUCCAACUGGAGGACUGGUACAAAAUCACAUAAUAUUGUACCAUUUACCAGAAUCUGUAAAGAGUAUAAUAAUGAAAGGAUAUUUAGUUACCGGAGCUAGACAAGGAUUGCAGUACGUCAUCACAUUGAUGUGUUGAGUCCUAAGAUCUUUGAUUAGUUUCUGCCAUCCCAUAUACCUUGCAGAAUCUACCUCCCAGUUCCACCAUAGUUGUGAGCCUAUCAAUGUCUCCCUCUGCCCUACCCAAUCCUGCAGGAGGAUAAAAUGUAAGAUUACUAAUAUAGGGUUUCCCAUGUGUCAAUUUCCAUAUUACUCUGUCUAGCCUGCAAAGUGCAAGCUAUGAAGAUUCCCAACUCGAAAUCUGAUCAUUAGUGGUAGAAGACAUUAUGAAGUCAUCAUCAUAAUAAUUGUUGUUCGAGGUGAUUCUUUACCUGUAACCAGAAUGCAGAUAUUGGUACAUUGUAGGCCUGUAGCUGAUUCCAAACAUUGUGCACGGCAUCUGUUCCACCUUGCAUUCCCACAACUGCACCAGAUAUUAUCCACUCAGGAAGUUCCGGAGGUCUUCCAAUAGUUUCUGUGAAGUUUUCGAUCAGCUCAGUUGGUGAAUUGCCAUGCAAUAUCCUACCUUGAACAGAGUCUCCAUUGAUCUAAGAAUUACCAAAAAGUUUAGGCUGUUAACUCCUCUAAAUUUGGGAUGUGAAUAUUUAAUUGGCCCGAGAUGCACUGAGAGUAUCAUGGCAGCCUGCAACUGUUUAACAGAUUCUGAUAUUGCACUAUCUAUCGAAAUCUAUGCUGCUAUGAUGUGCUUUUGUACAACCUAUACUACAAAUUCAGAAAGUUGACCACUUAAUGGUCAUAAAUUGGAACACAUCAGAGCAUUUAGUGAGCUUCUUCUGAAUAGGUUCCAUAAUUUCCAGCAUCUUUGUUGAUGCUAACUCCUCAGACUGAGUUUGAUUUGACAAGGUGAAAUCACUUUCUAGAAUUGAGGUUAAGUUGAAUUGGUGUUUCAAGGCGUAUGUCGAUUUUCAAGAAUGUGAACUGGAUAGAUGACAUGAUCACUUUGCAAAGUAUUUAAACAUUACCUGUAUUUGAACUCUAUCAUGCUUUGUUAGGUCAAAGACUGAAUAAUUGUAUCCUUCAAGGUAAAGGGACCUCAUCUUUGAUGUCAUAUAAAAUGGAGAAGGAGCAUAAGUUGUACUCCAAUCACCCCCUGCCCUGCAUUUAUUUCAAAUUAUCUCAAUCAGACAUAGCUAGCCAUAGAUUUUGGUAGUUAAAAAAAAAAAUUGCAUUUAACUCUUACCUGUAGCUUACCAAGUUGGCUGCAAAUGUGAUUGGUUGAUCUCCUCUCCCAAUUCCCUGUUCUUGAACGAAAAUUGGUACUCUUUUUCCUUUCAAAUUCAUAUGAGAAAACUGCUCUCCAAAACCAUAAAAUCUCUCACUUCUUUCACUUUCAUAUGUCAGCCAAAUUCUGUUGAAGUCUGUCAAUCUUGCAGCCUUCAUUACUACAUUUUCCUCGUCUGAUGAUGAUGAUGAAACAGCUAGACACACUUUCCUCUUCGAGCAGAAUCUACUCCAUCCAAUUCUGCGUCUCCGAAUUCCAGUUAACUUCCUGGCAAAGCCCUUGUAGAUUUUAGGAGAAACUCUUUGGCGAAGUUCCACAUUUGGUUUCCCCAGCCUCACUUGAAAUCCAACUUGAUUACCGUUCUUCUGAUCAAACAAAAUGCAGUAUUUUGCAAAAAUAGAACAGUCCUCCGAAUUACCUGCGGUGGAACUGCUUUUAGGAUCUUGAACUUUCUUAUUCCAUUUCUUUGAACCGAUAAUCUUUCCUGUCAGCAUCAAAGCAGGGGACUGACGACCAUUUUCUGCCAUUUUUGUGGCAUUUCCACCACAAAACGAUGGAAGAUUUUGAUCUGUCACAUCAACACUGACAUCAGAAUCGUCCACUACUGCCCUAAUACAAUCAAUUGUUUGAUGAUUACAUACCACAUGAACCUCAUUAUCUUUGACAAGAAAUGAUCCUCUGCUCUCUUCCACCUCAGUUUCUGCAACUGCUGCAGACACAAAAGCCUGUCCUGGAACACUAGACCAUAUGUGUCUUGCAGGCUGAGACUUAUGAGAUAUUGAAAGAGAGCCUCCAUCCGUUGAUGACCAAUUCACCUGAAAAUCUUUACCAAUGUCAAAGAUCUGGUGUGAAGGAAGUGUCUGCGAAUUAAAGAACAGUUUCCCUUCAACAAAAGGGCCAGACUGUGGGGGAGAAUUGAAGGGAUUGUUUAGGUGUUUGUGAUGUUUCUUUGUGAUUUUGAGUGUGGCCAUUUUGGAAUUUGAAGAAUGGAUAUACUAUUCAUUCAUUGGACCAUGAAUAUUUUAUAGACUGAAGAUUUGAUACGCGGAAACAUUGGAUUGUCGCAGUUAACAGUAAAACUUCUAGAUUCUGCAGGCAUUUUUUUGGAUUGAAGAAUAGUAGUAUUCAUAGACUAUUAUAUAUUGGGAAUAGUAGGAAAACUCUGAAAGGUCAAUAUGCACUUAGGAAUUGGAAGUGGAAGUUUUGAGGAAAAAGUGGCAUUUGAAAGUCAUAAUUGGGUCCCCCGAAGGAUGAAAAUCUCAUAAUUAUGCGGUCAACUUGCGCAGCCAAACGAUAAUUUGUUUGAAUUGUAUUUUUCUGGAUUUUUUAUAAAAAAAUUAGUGUAACGAUUAGAUAUAUGUAAAAUAAAAAAAUGAUUGAAAAUAUGUCUACAGAAAAUGUAGUAGUUUUUCAAAGAAAAAUUGUAAUCCAAACAUACCCGAAGGAUGAAAAUGUCAUAAUCCAAAGUCAUAAUUGGAUCCCUCGAAGAAUGAAAAUGUCAUAAUUAGGGAGGUUGGUCAACUUGCAUAACAAAAUGAUAAGGUUUUGUUUCGAUUGCAUUUUUCUGAACUUUUUAUAGAAAAAUUACUGUACCUAUUUGAUAUAUGUGAGAUAAAAAUGUGAUUGGAAAAUGUGUUCAAGUUUUUUAUACAUUGUCAAUGGAUAAAUUUUUAUACAUUAGUUGGGUUUGACUGUUGCUAUAUAAUAUAAGUUCAAAUUUAAAAUUUAAAUCAUGCACAUAUGUUAUAUGUUCAUAACUGCUUCUGUGAAAAAAUUAAUAUACUGUUGAUGCAUAAAAAGUUAAUCCAUAAUGAAACUAGUUAAAUUUGGUCCCUUGUGGGCAAAUUGGUCUUUCUAUAAUGCUGCACAAGUUGAGAAAUUCUAUUUUGAGUUUUGUGUGAGAGUGGAUAUAUUUUUUUUCAAUUUUACUUAAUUUAUUUUCUUUACUAAAUCAUGGAAAUUUGUUAUGAAAUUAUUCGGUUCUCCUCUUUACUUAAUCGAGAAGUAUUAAACUUUUAAUCUUGAAAGGUACCGAAAUAGCUUAUUUAGUGAACAAUUUUAGAAUGUCUAUAGCAAAUGCAAUCUAUUAAGGGGAUAAGAGUUAAGUUCAUUGAAAUUGCGUAGGCCAAGAUGUAAAUAGAUUAAUUCUGCAUUUAUUAAAGAAGAUAAGCCUUGGAAUCGUCCUAGUAAUAUUAUACCCAAAGCUUUUUUUUUUUUUUUUUUUUUUUUAGUGUAAGUAGGAGGACUCGAACCCGAGACCUCUUGCUUACACUCCCUCCCCCGUACCACCCAACCCAUCCCUCCCCCCAUAUUAUACCCAAAGCUUAGAUUCAAUGUUGGUUGAAACAAACGUCUUUGGAUCUUGAUUUUUAACAUUUUUAUUUUUAAAAUAUUUCUCUAAAGGAAGCAUAAUAUUUUUCAUUAUAGUAUGAAUAUGAUUAUUAGUGCAUAAACAUUAAAAAAAAAAUUAAUUGGAUUCCUUAUUCUGUUGGUUGGUGCACUCAAUAUACAUCUACAUUAAAUGUAUAUUCCACAUUUUUUAAAAAUCCAAUUUAACUUUAUCUUUUUCAAAAAACUCCCUUCAAUUGGUGGAUUUUGCCAUUUUGUGAGGGAGAUUUAAAAGCAGAAUUUGCAUAAAAACACUCCAAAAAUGGGUGGAAAACUAGCAAAAAAAUACCAAAACAAGUUAACGUCAUAAAUGAAAAUUUCUUCUUUUUUCGUUUGUUUCUUCAUUGCGCGUGAGUGAUUUAGUUUAAAAGAAAGUGAGCAGCAUCAAGUGGAAGGCCCUUUCUUCCGAAUGUGAGUGUUUCUUCCGUGUAUAUAUACACAUAUACACAUAUAUAUAUAUAUAUAUAUGCAUAGAUUCGACUAGGGGUGUCAACGGGUCGGAUUUGGACUCGAAUCGACUCGAUCUGAUGAAUUUUUCCGGAUUUGGGUUGAAAAAUAAUUCCGAUACCCAGACCUAGAUUUGGACCUGUUUACUCUAAUAAAAAAUGGGUCAGAUAUGGAAUAUAAGAUUCCGACCCAGACCCGAACAAUAUAUUAAUAAUUAUAAAAUAUAAAUAUUUCUAAAUACAUUUUUUUACGAAAUUAAUAAUUUAGCAAUAACUUUGUCGAUUGAUUUGUAGUUAGAUUGGAUUAACUAUUGCGAAUUAUUUGUGAUUUAGUUUUCUAAUUUGAUUUGUUUAAGUUUGAAGAUUGGAUCUGUGAUUGAUUUUGGAUUUAAUUUUAAACUGUUUAAAUUUGGACAUUUUCUUUCUGGAUAGACCCGAAUCUGACCCAGGACCCGUUAGACCCGAUUCCGAAACUCUAUGAUCAAAACUCGUUAAGUAUAUCUGUCGGGUCCGGGUCUACUACAUAAAAAUGGGUUUGAGUCAGAAAUUUUCAAUUUCGACCCGAACCCGAUCUGUUGACACCCCUAGAUCCUACCAUCCGGCUAGAAAUUAUACCACUCGACGAAAUCCCCGGAUUUGGACGUGUAUAUAUAUCUCUCUACACACACCAAAACAGCAGAAAAAAAUGAAGGCCCUUAAUGCGCAAGCCCAACCUUUACUUGACAACUAUGAAUCUAGACGGGUUUUGAAGGAAUAUUCACUUGCAUAUAUGAUGAUGCAUGCAGACGUGAUCCGGUCUUGAACAAUUCCGUGCAAGCAAGCUUUAAUUAUUGCUAUAUCUUCCAAUACUUGGAAAACAGAUAUAAAAACAAGAAAGACUUGGAAAAUUGGUUUUGAGUAACGAUGGACGUACAAGUAACUAUAUUAGAAAAUUUUGUAUACUCUUUUAUUUUAUAUUUUGUUCUUUCGCAGUUCAAUAUUCGAUCUUUUGUUUACUUGAUUUUCAUGCAAACCAAGUUAUCGAUCCAAAUAUAUGUCCUUCGCAUAUAUUUCUCAUAUAUAUACACAGUGUUAUAUUGUUAUUUCAAGGAUUAGUGACUAAUUAUACAUGUGCGUGCACGCGCGCACACAGUAAAAUUUAUCUGCAAUUCAUUGAUUUUCCUCAAACUAUUAUUGCUAAGAAAUUGCUUGUUUAGGAUUUAAUAAGACUCUAUUUAGAUGGUAGAAAAUGAUAAUAUUAGUUUUGUUCGGAUUGAAGAUUAUUUGAAAAAAAUAUUUAUAUCAUUCACUAUAACCCUUUUUAUGAAUUAGUUAGUGUUUUUUGAUAAAAAGGUGGUUGGAGUUGCCUAAUUGGAAAAUUUAAAGAGAAAAGUCAUGCUGUUCAUUUUCAAUUAUUAUUGGCGAAUGAUUGAAUUGGAUGAUAAGGUGGAAAUGUUUGUAAAUAGGAGAUUUUGUAUUGAGUUGCCUUUGUAGAUCCUGGCAAAGUAUUCUUCUAUUCAGAUCUGGCAUUAAUUCAAUAUCGUGCGCAACUAUGUUUGAUUAGAGUUUUGGACCUAUUAUAUGGUUGAAUCUGGCAUGAAUAUAGGUCAUGUUCAUGCAUGCUUAUUUUCUACUCAAAUUUUGUUCUAUAAUUCUUCUUUGCACACAACAUUUCUGAGGUCAAAUACUCAGCAUUAUUUGCAUACAGUAGGAUCCAACUAUUAAAACUGAAGCAACAUUGUCCUUAAAAUAUAUUUAAAACGUCUAUUUCUAAUUGAUUCUAAAGUUUUUAUAAAAAGUUGGUUUUUUUAAAAAAAAAAUGCCAAAAUGAGAAUCCAAAAAGUAGGUAUCUUGUAACUACUGAUUUCUUUUAUGGGUCUAAAUUUACCCUUUUAUACAAUUUCAUUUUGCAGCAUUGUAUUGCCAUUCAAUUUACUCUACAAAAUAUGGUGAAAUGCAAUUAAAGUUUUUUUUUUCAUAUAUUGAAAAUCACAACGGAAAAUGCACAGCCUCUUAAAUGCUCUCUUAAUUUACUAAAGCAGUACUUUUUUCCUCGUUUUUUUGUGUUGCGGGGGGGGGGGGGGGGGGGGGGUUUAGAAAUUGAGUUCUUUUCAUGCACGUGCACGGUAUACAAUUUGGCUAAUUCUUCUGUGAGCCUACUACAAUUUUGUGAAUGUUCCCAUGAUUUGGGUGCUGUUCCACUGUCCUGGAGGCUGCUUUAAUGAAUCUGGUCGUACCCAUGUUUAAGAUUCCAUCUUCCAGAUACGUACGACAGUGCUUCUUCGUAUCCAUUUUGAGUUUAAACAAGUACUAUUAUUUGUUUUCUUUUUUUUUAAUAAGAAAAAAGUUAUCGAGGAGGGGGGAGUUAUUCCCUUUCAGAGCCACAGUAGGUUACCAUAUGUUAAAAACAAAUUAUAAUAGUUCAUACAAAUUACCUAUCAAUAAGAGCUUGUAGCAAUCAGACUCGAAUAUUACUUCUGCUACAGAGAUAAUUUUACAAACUUCUUCUGAGAUUUAUGGAAAUAUCAUCUAACUUUUAAAAUCUUUUUUUAUCUCUCUUCAACUAACGAUGGGAUUGGAUGUCACUAUCGAAGAGGAUGAAUUGUCAAAAAUAACCUCACUCGUCUAACAAUUAUCUAGGAAAACUAUUUCUCCUGACAAAGUGUACUAAUACUUGAAAAAUUAUUAUUAUUAUUAUUAUUAUUUUGUAGAAUUGUUCUCUUCUUCUCUCUUUUUCAAAGCACUAGGGAAGCUUCCAAUGAAAGAAGACAAAAUCUUUCAUCUGGUGAUAGGCUGAUCUUGGUUAAGUUGGAGUCGAAGUUUGAUUUGCUUACUUUACUACAGAAGAGAAAAAAAACUUGAGCAUGUUGUUUCUAUAAAUUUUGGUUUCACAAGUAAUAGGAGACCUUAAUGAAUCCUAGUAUGUUUGUUGAUUCAUAUAGUAUGAAAUAUGAUUAUAUUCAACUUUAUAUAGUGUUUAUUUUUCAUCAUGAAAAGUAGAUACGUAAAACAUAUGAAAGGUGUAAUUUUUAGGUCCAUAUCUUAUGUUCAUUUAGAGAAAUAGCAGGGAUCAUACCGUCAUAGUUGUGAUUUGGAGAAAUACUAGAUGAUUUAGGAUGUGAUUUUUAUGUUCAAUAGUGAUGGAGUUAUACAUGAUUGCUCAGCAAUUUUUUUGAACCCUCUCACCCACAAGGGCUAGAUAUAGGGUUUGAACCCUAAAUUUGAAAGUGUAGAAGAUUCUAAUUAAGAGCCCUCAUCCAUCCAUUGGACCGACUCAAGUGGUUUGAAUGUUGAUUGUAUCAACUUUCCUUCUUAUUACACUUACACCCUCUCAAUUUUAUUCAUAUCAUUUGUACCCUUAUUCUCUCCAUUUUUUUGUUGAUAAAAUGUUCUUAAUGGUACAAAUAAAGGGAAGUUAGUGAAACAAAAUAUUUUCUCACCUCUAACAUGCAUUUUUUAGAAUUACUUUUAUUUAUCUCACCUCUAACAGUGUUAUCAAGAUAUCAUUUAAAGAAAGGUAAAAGAAAUUCUCAAAAUUUCAAGGGAUUUUAGUGAUAUCUUCAGAGACCUCAGUAGAAGUUUGUGAAAUUAUCCCAUUUCUAGUUGUUUCUACUUAAAGUUUAGUAAUUCUUUUUAGGGUUAAAUGCAAAAAACCCCCACAAACUAUAUACCCAGUUGCAGUUUACCCCAUAAACUAUAAUAAUACGCAAUUUGCCCCCUUGAAUGAUAUGUUUGGACAACACUACCCCUACUAUCUUAAAUCCUUUCUUCUUCUUUUUUCUCUAUUAGAUUUUUUCAUUUUUUCCUUUUAUUUAUUUUCUCCUUCUCUCGUGGAACUAGCCAACGUCUCUCUCCGAUGUGAAAAGACUUACAUCAAAAAUUUUAAUAUUUUUUAAACUGCUUUUUUAAUUUGUUUAUUUGUUAAAUUCAUUCUUAAUAAUUUGUCAUAAACUCUUUAUUAUUACAAAAUAUAUGAAGCUUAUAUUGUAAAGUGUAUUAAUCUAGUAAUUCAACAAUUUAAGUAACUAUAAACUAAUUAAGAGUUCACAGUUACUCAACUACUUAUAAUAAAAGUAACAUAUUAUAUAUCACAUAAAAAAGAAAAGUUAGCAAUUGUUAUUUGUAGUGAAAUAAAAAAUAAGAAUAAACAACAAUAGUAGUUCAUUUUUUUUUAUUGAUACUACUAAUAAUUGAUUAAUCAAUUUCUCUAUUUUGUUGUUAUAUAUUUGAAAAGUUCAAUUUCUUAAAUGACAUUGACUUCAACAUUUGGACAAAAAAUCUUGUAUUCCAUAGAUUUUUUUUUAUAAAAUAUUGACAUACAAAAUUAAGAAAUAAACAAAUUUUGACUAAUCUAGUCUACUUAUUUAAACAAUGUUUAAAGAAAAAAAGGAAGAAUUUAAAAAGAAAAUGAUAGGGAAAAAAGAAAAAUAACAAUGCUUAAAAUAAAAGGGGUAGAUUUGUCCAAACAUAUCAUUCAAGGGGGCAAAAUGCCUAUUAUUAUAGUUUAGGGGGUAAACUGCAAUUGGGUAUUUAGUUUGUGGGGUUUUUUGCAUUUAACCCUUCUUUUUAUUUGCCUUUCAUAAGAUCAGUUACAAUACAGUUAAUGGUAAAAAAUGGUUAAAGUGUUUCAAUAACCGUAAAAUAUCCUCCCAAUGAAGUUGAUCAGUGGAUAAAAAUAACAAAUAGACCCAGUUGGAACAUUUCUUCAAAAUCGCUAUUGAACUUGAGGUAAUUUCAUAGCUUUAAUGUAUCUAGGUACCUACUAAUAUAAAAAAUAUUUAAGAGGAAUUGAGGUGUUAAGUUUUUGAUAAAAAACAGAACUAAUUUGAGAAAACGACUAAGGUCCCGUUUGGCAAGUGAGUUUUUUGGGUGUUUGUAUAAAACUUUACUAAAUUUACUGUAGAAGUUUUUAAAAAAAUUUUUGAAAUAUGUUUUUUUUUUUGAAUAUUUUGAAGUAUAUAAUUUAAAAAUUUUGAGAAAUUUUUUGAGGUUACUGUAGUUAAAGUUUUUAAAAAACUUGUAGCAGACAAACUUGACAAAAUUUUGGCUGCCAAACAAGGCCUCAAUGUAAGGGAUAUAUUGAAGGUAAAUGCCUACAUUCAUAAUAUGGUAAAUUAAGUUUAGAUGUACUAAUGAGUGUCGUGGGGAACCGUUACAAUAAUCCUAUUAGAAAAAGGGCAGAAUUUUAUCCUCGGGAGAGCCUCGACAUCAGUCUAUCCUCAGACUUGGAGACAAUAAUUUAUAGAGUUAAAAAGUAAUAAAUUAUGAUAAGAGAAACUAUAAUGAAUAAUUUAACUUGACGGUCUAACUAUUGACAGGAAUUAGGUAAUGGACUUUUUACCAAGUAGGCCUUAAUAGCUUCAUGGGCCUUCAUCUAUGAAUCUCCAUUGUACUGGAAUGGUCACCCAAUGGUGUUGUCAGACACCUGUAACAAGGUUGGAUUGGUCAUAUUAUUUUUGCAUCAUCAAUGAAGUUUCCUAUAAACCGAUCAAUCGAACCAAAUUUGCUAUGGUUUUGUUGAUUUCUUUGUUUUUUUCGGGGUGCUUAACUCUCUCCUUAAGUUAGUUUGUGCUUUUUACUUUUAUCCUUCUUCUUUCCUACCCUUGAUGACCUCGACUUUAUAUUUGUUUGCCCCAUUUUUUAAAAAUUAAUCAAUGAAGAGAUUAAUUAUGUUUAAAUUCAAGAAAAGAUUUCCUUGAUUAAAUUUUCCUCCUUUUUUUUCCUGCUUCAUUAUUUUAUCUUUUUUGCAACUUCAAUCUUCUAUAAAAUCACUCUAAGUUUGUUUCUUUUCUUCAAAUUAGUAACAUUUUCCUCUUUAAAUCCUAAGGGAAGACCAUCCUUAAUUAAGGUCUACUCUUUUUUUUUUCCUCUCAUUAUUUUACCAUUUUUGUACUUCAUUUUUUUCUUAAAAUCUCUCUAGUUUAGUUUGUUUUCUACUUUCUUCUCGUGGAUUAUAAACCUUAAAUUGCUUUGUUCACAUUCUAUAGUGGAGAACCUCCAUAAAGUUUUCUUUUAUUUUUCAACUCCUCUUUCUUUCUUAAUCCUUCCUUAAUCUCUAUAGUAUUGGAUAAGACUAGGAGGAGUGUAUAUAUAUACAUGGAAUUAAUCUUUUAUAUUGAUAGUGUAUACAUUAUCACUAUUACAUGCAUGAUAAUUGAUUUGAAUUUGAAUUUGAAAUUUAAAUUUUAUAUAUGUAUCAUGUAUACAACUGUGAUAGUACACAGACAUAUACACAUAGCCACAUAGAUAUUGUUCAACAAUUAACUUUAAUUGUUUUGUAAAAAAAGUAUUAUGUUUUUAGCAAUAGUCCCUUAUCACAAAAAAUAGAAAUUAAAUAUUUGUAAAAGGUAUUUCACUUUCAUUUUCCUUUCUUUGUCCUUAUAAAUAUUUCCUCGUGAUGUUUAAAUAUCUAUUGAUAUUUUUGAUCAUAAAUAUUUUAUAGAAUAAAUUAUCUUAAGUAACUAAAUAUUUCAUUCAGUAAAAAUAACUUAUAUAAUUUUAUAGUUAUUUAUAUAUGCAGUUGUAUUACCAUUUCCUGGACACUACAAUGUUCUUUAAUAAAAAGAAGCAUAAUAAAACUAUUUCAUAAAAAUAAAACUAUCAAAGCAUUGUGGGUUGAGGAUAUGAUUGUGUUUUCACACCUCUCAUAUUGUAAGGCCCAAAAACAAUUUAAGAGGGGGUUUGAAUUAGGUUGUUUAAAAACUAAUCACAUUAUAGCAAAAUUUCACCCAAUUUUACUAACCAAGUUAACCUAUGUGAACACACUUUUAAGCCAAGAAAAAGCAAGGAUGGAGCACCGCACAAAAUAAUUAAAUGAAGAAAAAAGGAAAUAAAGUAAAAGAUAGACAAGCCAAUUUAUAGUAGUUCGGUCAAACUUUUUGGUGCCCAUGUCCACUCCCAAACUUUUUCAAACUUGGAAUUCAACCCACUAAGAGCUUCUUCCAAUAUUGGUGAAACAAACCAACUUAUACAAAAAAGGGCUCACCCUUUGCUCACACCAAAUUUCCCUACUCUAGUUGAGACAAAGGAUUUUACAAUUUUCCCUAAUUAACUCUUUUUAAACUACAAUUAAAUGCCUACAUAACCAAUGAAGAACUCUAACAAUUUUCAAUCUCACAAAGAUUACAAGUAUACUCACACUUAAGAGUAUUUUCCCUUGAAAUCACUCUUACAAAGUUUGUAGUCCUGUGGACAAAUGAUCCUAAAUGUUUCAGACUUUAAGGUACUUAUAGGAGCCCAAAAACUGGCCCAAAAUGCCCUCUAACGACUCUACAUUAAAUGCAAAAAAAAAAAAAAAAACCAUUAGGUAGUCCGGCUAGUGAAGAGGUGAUUCCUGUGUGGUCAAGCCGCGCUGAUAUGAUGAGGCCACCUGCUCGGCUGGGGUGUCGAGUUGGAGGAAUGCACCUGUCAAAUUCACUUUAGACGAGGAUUUAUCCCCCGGUCUAUCUCCGAUGAUCAAAUCAGUUCGGGUAUAUGUUUUUAAAUAAAAGGCAAACUCGACGUGUGAAUGCUUUCUGAUAGUGUGGUUCUCUUACUCUUAGUUUUGGUUCCCUGUUCAUGAUAGGGGAGAGAGAUAUUUAUAGGAGACAAGUUGGUGGGAAGGAUGAUGGAUUCCACUUCCCAAGGACCUGAUACUGACUGUGAUAUGUCUAGUCUUGAUGGAUAGGACGCAGCAAUGGUCGUGUCAUGUCAACGCCUUGUCAACUUGUCAUGUAGGGGUCAACCUUCUCAGAGGGAUGUCAGGCACCAGAACAUGGGCAGUGACCGAACCGAGGUAAUGCCACAAUUAGGGAGCUGACCUCGGCAGUGUAAAAUAAGUGAUAAGUCGAGAUUACUCAAGCCCAUGGAGGGUCGACCCAUAGGUCAAGUCGGGCCUAGUCGAGAUGACCGCCCUCAAUAGGCCCCCCAAGCCUUGAGGAUAGGGAGUUCAUCCUGCCUCCCGACCUGAGGCUUCCUCAUGAAAUAACCACAGAAUGUGGCACAUCCUAGCGUAAUGAGGCACCAAAUACGGACACAUAGGACAACAGGACGUGGUAUGAUAGGACGGUUAUUAGAUUGAAUGAUGGUGUUAGGACGUGGAAAGAAGCACGAAGCGAUUGUCAGACGAAUAAUCACGCAUUAAUGAGGAAAGAGGGGCCACGUCUUUUGAAAUUUAAACCUGCCGCCCAUUCGUCUUUCUUCGUCCCCUAUAAAUAGAGGGUCCUUUUCACCAUUUAUCCACAGUGAUAGAAUUACAGCAGUUAGACCAGAGCAAUCAACCGAGACUAAUUUGCAAUAGCCGACCUCAACCUUUCCUCAGAAAAGAGUAAGUUCAUUUAUUUUUUAAGUAUGGCCCGAGUAGCUCACACACAUAAGGAAACGGUGAGGUCAGACUUCGGAAGGGCAAAGGGGCCCAACCCGUCCGAGGAGAAAGACGGUACCUCAUCCAGUCCAGGAGAGGAGGCAGCCGAGGUAUCUCAGGAGGUCGGAGCAUCACAAGAAGCCGGUGGAGAGGAGUCCGAGGUCUUGUAUAACGACAGUUUUGGAUUCGAAGUGCCUCGUGAUGAAGGAGUGUUGGAGCCAGCAGCCCCGCCAGAUCUUACUAGGGUAGAUUUCAGCCAACUCCCUCUUUUUAGAAGGAAAGCCAACUCCCUCUUUUUAGAAGCACAGUUGGCUUGGCCGAAAUGAAUGCCGUGAUACGGAGGUAUCCUUUCCGGCAGGGCUACAACAUUUCUUCUCCCAGGCCAGACCAAUUGAUCGAAAUGCCUCCUAAGGGUAGAGUAACUGUUUACAUAGAUCAAUUGGAAGCCGGGCUGAGAAUGCCUACCAUGAGAUUUUUUCGGGACAACCUCAAGUAUUGGGGGGUAAGGGUCACUCAAUUGGUUCCUAACUCCAUCCGAAUCCUUGUCGGAUUCGAGAUGUUUUGCAGAGAAUAAGGAGUGACCCCUACUGUCAACUUCUUCCAUUGAUGCUACAUUAUCAAGAAUAGCAGAAAUGAAAAGGGUUGAUUCUAUUUCAACAAUAGGAAUACUAGUAUUCCUAAAUUGGUGGUAGACACCCCGUUCUCAAUAAAAAGAUAGAAGAACAAUUUUCCGGCCAAGGACUUUCCUAGUGGUUUCUGGUGGAAGCCACAUGACACUCCAGUCGAUCCCUACCCGGGCAAAUUAGAAGAGGAGAGUUUUCAGAAGAUAAUGGGGUUGGGUCUUCGGAUUAAUAGCUGGUUCUUUCUCGAGGCUGUACUCGUGGACGGGAGAAUCAACUGAACUCUCAUAAACUCCAACAAAACCCCUUACUUUUCAUCUAAGCUUGAUAAAUAUUGUAAUUUUCGUUUCAUAACUUUAUAUAUUUUUAACUGGUUUAAGUAAUAAUGCGUUUUCCUUGUGUAAUGGUGAAAGUGUCCAAUCUGAUUACUUUCGGAUCAAGGACCGUGGCGAAAAGACAAUCUAAGAGGAAAGCUAUGGUCGAGACGUCUGGCACAUCCAAGAAGAAGAGUACCUUGGUCACUAUGCUUUUCCCAGUAGGCAGUCAAGUUACCAGUGCUACGCCCACGACGGCAGCCGAGGAGGUUUCCAAGAGCUUGACCAUUUUGGAUGAAAUGGCAGCCCGAGGUGUUACUAUAGUCUAUAUCCCUCAUGGCCCAGAAAUAUCAAUUUAACCUUCCGACACACUGGUUCUAGGGUCUUCCUUAUGGAACUAAUACCACGUUUCCUCUCACUCCGCAAGGGAUAAUAAGAGACAUCCCGACGAACAUUGGUGUCCAGAAUGGAAGCUCAGUGUUAACGACCGAUGUCUAGAUCCUAGUUCGGUUGAGGACUUGCUGAUGCAUUCCACCCUACUAAGGGAUUUGAAUUACACCAAGAAACUAACUCUUUCCGAACUGCUGUAGAGUUCGGUCGUUGCAUGGGCUUUCACUUCAGUUUUCUUGGCCGAGCUGUCAAGAUGCUAUGGCUACCUGCUCGAUGCCUAUCAACCGACUACUGAGCUACAAGACAAGAUUUCUUUGUUGGAGAAGAAGUUGGUGGUAGUUGAUCAUGAACAACCCCGCCUUUGUGACAAGAUCAAGAUGUGAGCGAACAGGAUCAAUCCGUGGUCACUACCAAUUCACUCAGGACGACUCUUGAUGAGAAGUAGAAGAGGCGCCGUGAAGAAGAACAGUUCAAUCAAGCAGCAAUCGAGAAGGCUAGGACCUCGGCUAUGGAGGCAUUACUAAAAUCCGAGACCUUUACCAAAGAUCUUGACAAGCUGACUUUACCAAAUUUUAUAUUCCGUUAUACCUCGAUCGUAAAUGAAAUAGGCCCGUUGCUAUCUCAGGAGGACUUGGACUCUUUCAAGAACAAGGAUAGUUACAACAAGGAUGCUAAAGAACUCUGCGACCGCAUGACUAAGAGCAUCCAGGCUGGAAGAAAUUUGGUCGAGAUUUGAAAGCAGUUCAAUCAGUGGCUCUCCGAAUUUGAACUAGAGCCGAAGAAUGAAGAGCUGAGGACAGCCGAGGUGGGGGGAACUGUCGAAGAGGGAGAGAAUAAAGAAGGCGCCGAGGCAGGGAAUACUUAGAAGUAUCCCUGACCGCGGGCCUUUGUACUCGAAACAUCUUUGUAAUCAUUUGCUGCUAAUGAUAAUUUCAUUUAUUCUAUUCACCAUAAUAUUUGAUGCAUAACCCUCUACUUGUCCCCCUUAUUUUUUAACAACAUGAAUGAAGACGUUAAAAAAUAAUUAAUCAAUUUAAUCUGGUCAUAUAACGUUUGGAAACAUCAGCUAAUAUCUUGAAUCAUUACGAAUAAUAUAAUUUAAGAUUUUCGACAUACCAAUUUCUAGGCACUAGAGUGCCAUUUCGAUGUCAACUUACAAUAGCCAUUUUGGCUAGACUCGACAACUUGGUAUGGUCCCUUCCACUUGGGAGUUAAUUUGUCCUGGGGUUCGGAUUGAUUAAUCGAGUUUUUUGCAAAAUCAAGUCUCCCGAGUUGAAGUGAAGCUUGAUGCGGAUGUUAUAGUAACAAGUCAAAAUAUUUUUGUACAAGGCUACUUGGGCUACUGCAGCAUCUCUCUUCUUUUCGAUUAGGUCGAAGUCCAUCCCCUUUUCUUUUUCGUUAGUUUCCGCAGCGAAAGCGGCCAUUCGAGACCUUAGGGUGAGAAAUUAAGUGGGAACCACUAUCUCGGAUCCAUAAGUUUGAGAGAAUAGGGUCUCAUGUGUGGCCGACCAUGGAGUAGUUCGGUAAGACCAUAGGACACUGGGAAGAUCGUCCACUCACAAGGAUCCAGUUCGGUGCAACCCGGACUUGAGACCGGGCAGAAGAGUCCGAUUUAAGUUCUCUGCUUGAUUGUUGGUUUGGAGUUGCCCUACCGAGAUGAAGUGUUGUUUGAUUCCAAGAUUUUCGCACCACCCAUUGAAUGGGUUAUCGGCGAAUUGCUUUCCAUUAUCCGAAAUGACUACUUGAGGUACGACAAUAUGGUAGACAAUGCAUUUUCAGAAGAAUUUUUGGACAGCUCGGCCGAUUAUACUCUUCAAUGGUUCGACCUCAAUCCAUUUCGUAAAAUAAUUAAGUUUGUUUGGAUAAGAGUUUAUUUGGAUGAUUUAUUUGAGAUAAUUACUGUAGCACUUUUUGUGAUGUGAUGUAUGUUAGAUAAAAAGGUGAUUGGAAAGAAAAAAAGAUAGUUGAAAUUUGUGAAGUAAAUUUUUUUAUUUGAAAUCAAGCCAAACCAAACAAACUCAUUGAUGGCUAUGACCAAGAAGAUAUAAUUACCAGGAGCUCUAGGGAAGAGACCGAUGAUAUCUAUCCCAUAUUAUUCAAAAGACCAAAGUGACAUGAUGGGGACUAUGAAAUUAGUAGACUGAUGAUGUUUGGGAGCAUGGUGGUGGCAAGAAGGGUAACUAAAGACCAAAAAUUGUGCAUCCUGUCGAACUAAUGGUUAGAAAUAUCUGAGCAACAAAGCCUUCUUAUAGAGGGAGCCGUCACGGAGUGCAUAGCGAGUAGCUUUACGUUGAACCCUCUUCAUUUUAGCUCGAUCUUCAAGAAGGACUCAUUGACCCAAGAGUCUGACGAGAGGACUCAUCUAUGUGUCUUUCGAGUGAAUGAGAUAGGCUCUUUUUUCUAGAUAUCUCGGUUCAGUAAGAGCUUUCACAAGAAUUAUUUUAUUAAGUGUUGAAAAUAAGGUGGAAGUCAGCCGGGACAAAGCAUCGGUCUGCUUGUUUUGUGACCGAGAUAUUUUUUGAAUUUUGAACGACUCGAAAUAUGCGACAAGCUGGUGAAUCUUGGAGAGGUGCUUCUACAUUAUUUCUUAUUUGGCCUCAUAUUACCAAGAACUUGACAAAUCACGAGUUGGGAAUCACUAUUGAUCUGAAUGUGCUGAGUCUUAAGCUUACAGACUAAUUGCAGACCUGCGAUCUAAGUCUCAUACUCAGUUUCGUUGUUAAAUAACGAAAAGUUGAAGUGAAAGGUAUAUGAGCAUACCUCCCCAUAGGGAUCAACGUGAAGUAGCCCAGCCCCACUGCCAUUGCUGUUGGAGAACCCGUCCACUUAUAAUUUCCAUUGAUGUGAUAUGAAAGUAUCUGAGGAGGCGUCUUGGCCCACUGUAAAAGUAAACUCGAUCAAAAAGUCCACAAUAACUUGAGCUUUGAUGGUAGUUCGGGGUUCAUAAGAAAGAUCAUAUUCUCCUAACUCCACAGCCUAUUUGGUGAGACGUCCAGAGGCCUCGGUCCGAGACAAGAUUUGUCGAAUAGGUUGAUUCGUCCAUACACAGAUAGGAUGACUUAGAAAGUAAGGUUUUAACCGCUGAGUAGCAUGAACCAAAUCUAAAAUCAACUUUUCCAUUCGGAGGUACCGAAUUUUGGGCCCACGAAGGACUCUGCUAACAUAAUAGACAGGUUUUUGGAUAUUAUCGUAUUGUACUAAGAUGACACUUACUGCUUCCUUAACCGCGAUUAGGUAAAGGUACAGGAUUUUCCCUACCCGAGAUGAGGUGGUGCAGGAAGGUGAUGCAAAUAUUCUCCAUUUGAUCAAAAGCUUUUUGGCACUCCUUAGUCUAAGAGAACUUUUCAACAUUUUUCAAGACUUUAAAGAAAGGCAGUGCUCUCUGAGCGGAUUGAGACAAGAAGUGAUUAAGGGCAGCUAGUCGGCCUGUUAGUUCAUCUCAGAGGUUGGCAAGGAGCAACAUCCGGAUUGGCCUUUAUACCUCGAUGAGAUACGAGAUAACCGAGUAAUUUCUCCGAGGUAAUCCCGAAACGUAUUUCUUGGGAUUCAGCAUCAUUUGGGUAUUCUUGAAAAUUCCAAGGAUCUCUUUCACAUCGAAAAAGAAGACCACCGCAGUUCUGCUAUUGAGGAGAAUAUUGUCAACGUAUGCUUUCAUAUUCUGGUCAAUUUAAUCUUGAAAGAUCCGAUUCACGAGUUGCUGAUAUAUAGCCCUGGCAUUCUUCAAACCAAAAGGGAUGGUGGUGUAACAGUAAAUAUCUCGAUCGGUGAAGAAGACCGUCUUUUCUUGAUCCUCUUCACUCAUUCCUAUUUGGUGAUACCUUUAAAGGUAUCAAGGAAGUAGAGAAUCUCAUGACCCAUCACCGAGUCGACCAAAGUAUCUAUCCUCAGCAAUGGAUAGCAAUCUUUAGGGCAAGCCUUGUUCAGGUUGUUAAAAUUCAUACACAUUCUCCAUCCUCUGACUUCUUUCUUGAACAUUACGAGGUUAGAUGAGCAGGUCGGGUAUUGAAUUUCUUUUAUCAUUCGCGUAAGUAGUAGUUUAUCCAUAUUUUCUGAGAUGGUCUAGCUACGUUUAAGUCCAAAAUGUCUCCUUUUUGCUUAACUGGGCAUGCACGCGGUCAACAUUAAACUUAUGUAUCAUGAGAUGAUAAGGCACACCGACAACCUCUUCAGCUAUUCAGGUGAAGACGUCUCGGUGUUUCAUGAGGAGAUUAAUCAUGUUAUCUCGGAGGUGCGUGGGUAGGCUCGUGCCGACGCGAACAAUUUGAUCAGGUUUUUGUGAAUCCAGAAUAACUUUCUCGACCUCAUCUUCGGUCUUCAGUCGUUCAGGCUUUCCGAUUUAAUGCGGGCCUAUAAAAUCUAUAGACAAAAUACUCGAUCUCUGUCAGUUUAGAACUUGGCUCAAUCUGAUCUAGAUUAGCUUGCCGGUAGGUCAUCUUCCGAGAGUUUUGACUGUCUCUCUCUGUUGGAUCACUUACAAUAGUAUUGAUAAUCCCUGUUAUUUAGGUCCAUAAUCAGGAAAUCCAUCUCGGGGAGGCCUUUUUGACUCUCUAGAGUCUCUGGGAGCUCGACUGCUAUUUCUUGGCUCUCAUCGAUUCUCCCGAUGUUAAUCUCUAACUCACCGAUCUUAUUUUCUCCCCAGAUGAAUUGCCUUAUAGCUAGUUUGGGAGUUUAGGAAAGAAAAGAAAAGAACAGAAAUCUUAAGUUAGAAAAGAAAAGAAAAGAUUAUAAUAUCUUUUCAUGUUAUUUGGGAGUUUUGGAGAAGAAAGGAGAUGAAAUAACUUUCCUUUGUUUGGAAGGAAGAGAAUUGAAAAGACAAGAUUCAAUUUUACAUAAAAACCCUUAAAUCUUAAGAUACCAUGAGAAUUUUAUUAGGUUAUAUAGUUAUAUUUUAAUCUUUUAAGGGUAAAAAUGGCAUAUGGUAUAAUUCAUUUAACUCAUUCCACUUUCUCAUGUUUUUCGCCGAUUUUGGGCGGAAAGUUUUUUUGACGUGGAAGGGAGCUGACAUCCUUCUGUUUCUUUUCAAUUCUUUCCUACCCAAAGUCCCAAAUGUGAGAAAGAUUCAACUUUCCUUUGUAAUCUUUUCUUUUCUCACCAAAUCUGCUCUUCCAAACUAGGAGUUAGGUGUCUCUACUUGAUUAGAUUUUCUAUUUCUUUCUCCAAGUUAUUGCAAUCCUCGGUCUCAUUGUAAUCUAUCACGACGAGAAUAUACGACCGGCUUGUGUUAAGACGAGUUAAUUCGGAAUCAGGGAUAGGCUGUUUUCCUUUGGCGAUCCUGUCGAAAAUAUUUCGAUGGUCACGGGAGGAAUUUUGCACUCCACCGCCUGGUCCUUGUUCAUAUCGACCUGACUCUCUCUUGCUGCUAGGAUCUUGGCCUGUUCAAGUAGCCUGCGCUUCCCUCUUCAUGCGAUUUACAUCUUCACUUUGGAUGCUCUUAUCCACUUUCAGCCAUAGCUCUAAAGUGUUCGGGGAUACUCCUGAUGUAUUUCGAUAUUGAACACUCCCACCACUAGUCUAUUUGUAAAGACAGCGAUGGUGACUUAUUCAUUUGCAUCAGGUAUCUGCACAUUUUUCUCGUGGAAUCUCUGCACAUAUGAGUAUAGAAAUUCCCCUGGAGCUUGUUGUAUAUUCAUCAAGUAGGUCGAGAUUUUCGUCAUUAGUCUAGAUUAGACAAAUCGAUAGAUAAAUUUAUCCACGAACUUACCUAAUGAGAAAAUGCUCCUAGGUUCCAGACCCCAAAACCAUUUUCGGACAGUUCCUUGUAGAAAGACAGGAAAAGCCCGAUAGAUGAUGGAGUCAGGUACAUAGUACAACUUGAAAGCGAAAAUAAAAGCAUGGAGAUGAUCCUCUAGAUCACCUCGCCCAUCAUAAGAUUGCAAUACUGGAAGUUUAAUGUUAGGGGGAACCAUUUCCCCAUUUAUAUCAUCUGUAAAGGGUGGUGCCUUCAUAUAAUUCAGGGUCAAUCCUUCCGGACACCUAGACAUCUCACUGGGAUGUCUCCCAAGAAGACCUUGAGUGAAUGCUCUCGAAAGGGAGGCUAUUUUGGAGAUAAACCUGGAGGAGGCACGCUUGGAAGGACUUCUCACAGGGUGCCUAUUAUCUGACUCUUCUUUGAAGGGAAUUUCAGGAGAUUUGAUUGGUCUAUGCUUAGAAGACUCGGCCUUCUCCUUUCCUUAUCUCUUGAAGAACCUUUCCAGUUCUUCAAAGAUACCAGAAUUUUCAGCCACAAACUCAGCCAUCCGUGCAAGGGUUUCUUCGUUUGCGGGUUGGACAGUUUGAUGAGGUUCUUGACUUGCUUGACUGCCUUCCCGCUGGGCAACAGAGCUUGGCUCGGCCCCAGUAGGGGGAACUCUCUUACUCCUAGAGUGCAUGGAUUUCAUAUUGAAAAAUCUUGUCGCUUCUCACAGGCAACGCCAAUUGAAGAAGAGAUUCCUAUGUGGUCAAACCGCGCUAAUUUGAUGAGGCCACAUGCUCGACUGGGGUACCGGAUUGGAGGAAUUCACCUGUCAAAUUCAUUCUAGACGGGGCUUUAUCUUCCGGUCUAUUUCCGACGAUUAAAUCAGUUCGGGUAUAUGUUUUUAAAUAAAAGAUAGACUCGACAUGUGAAUGCUUUCUGAUAGUGUGGUUCUCUUACUCUUAGUUUUGGUUCCCUGUUCAUAAUGGGGAAGAGGGAUAUUUAUAGGAGACAAGUUGGUGGGAAGGAUGAUGGGUUCCACUUUCUAAGGACCUGACACCGACUGUGACAUGUCUAGUCUUGAUGGAUAGAAUGCAGCAGUGGUCAUGUUAUGUUAACGCCUUGUCAACCUGUCAUGUAGGGGUCGGCCUUCAUAGAGGGAUGUCAGGCACCAGAACAUGGGCAGUGACCGAACCGAGGUAAUGCCACAGUUGGGGAGCUGACCUCGGUAGCGUAGAAGAAGUGAUAAACCGAGAUUGCUCGAGCCCAUGGAGGGUCGGCCCAUGGGUCAAGUCGGGCUGAGCCGAGAUGAUUGCCCUCAGCUAGCCUAAGUCCCUGGGAGGUGGCUGAAGUCGCAAUUUUCAAUGAGAAUCAGAUUGCUUAGAAUAGCUGAAGCUCUUGAGAGGUGGGUGAAGUAGUGACUGAAAUCACAAUCUUCAAAUGAGUUGGAUCACUUAGGACAGUCGAAGUAUCUUUCUAACGCCCAAACUAGUGGCCGAACUCUUCAGGUGAUUUUUUUUCAAUAUACAUUUUGAACUGUCGAAUUUUAUUGCAAUGAUCGAAGUAGUGGUUGAAAAUUUUUUCAAAAUGCUUGGCCAAUUCCACUCUUUGACUUCGAAUGGCUGAGAGUAGGGCUGAAGAGGUAGCCAAUUAAGGCUGAUUUCAUGUGAACUUAGUUCCUUCUAAGGGUCGAAGGAGGCUAAAGAUGCCAAAAGUUGUGGCCGAAAAUGUUUAGCCAGCCGAUGAUUGUCUUAAGGCAUUCGAACAGGUUCUUUUGCAUUCUUCCUAUUUUUGCGACAGCUACACUUUAAUGAUUUGCAAACAUACUCAACACCCAAUGACAUUUGCAAAACAUGUCAUGAAUACCAUUAAAUCAUCAUUGUUAAUUUGUUAUCACCAAAACUAGAAAGUUCAAAAAAGAUUAGUUAACACAUACAUAGGAAAUCUAACCCAUAUGUUUGAUGGUUUAUUUGCAGGGGGUAAACUGUAUAUUUUCUAAUUAUAGGAGAUGAUUUGCUACUCAACUCAUAUUAGAAUGGAGGCAACUUGUGAUUGAGUCUAAUGUAAAUGAUACACUUUUAGAGAGAUAAAACAUCAAGUUUUGCCUGUAUUUGAAAGGUAGGAAGUCUCCAAAAUCCAACCUAACUGGUGAUGGUAUUAAUCAGGUGAUCUUGAGAUCCUUGUUUUGACUCAAAGUCUUUCUCUUUUCCACUUUUUUUCUUAUAAAGUUUGAAGUCUCCCCUUGGACCAAAAAAAAAAAAGGUUUACUUCUCAAUUAACUUUAAAAAAAAGAAAGAAAGAUGCUCUCAGCUGAAUUGGGUGGCCCUUAAUAGGUUAUUUAAUGUGCUUUUUGGGCUUGUCUGGCUUGGCAUUUUUAGGGUUGGCCCAUGAGUAAGACUUUUUAAACCCAAGAAGAAGGACCAAGAGGAAGCCAUAUUCAUCUGUUGUGCACUUUUCUAUUUUCAUCUUCUCUACUAAGAUUAGAAUAAAGUCGGCUAUAAUCAAUUAGUAGCACAUAAAAACAGCGACACUUGCAUUGCCGAUAAAUAGGUGAUUAAAUAUAGUAUGGGGAGAUUAAGAGAUGGUAAAAGAAGUGUUAUUGACCUUCAGAUUAAACAUUAUUAAAUAUUUAAAAUUUAAACUAUAGUCUUUAGUUAGAGAUGCAAGUUGAGAUAGUGGUCCCCAAAAAGAAAAGAAUUUUCCUAUAGGUAUGGUGGUGUGGCGGUACAUUUGAUUUUGAAUUGUAUGUAAAAGUCCUUUAAUUUGUAUUUUGUUUACGUGAUGGUAAAUCUUAUAUGUAAGAUUCAAGAGCUCCAAUUUGACAAUUCUAAACGAAAAAAGAUACUAAGAGCACAUUUUGUUAAAGGUUUACCACUACUGCAUGAGUUUUAUAGAACAUAAUACACGAGCAUUCCAACUACUCAAUGGGGCAUACCCAAUUUAGGUAAAGCCCAAUCAAACUACUUGAUUGGUCUAGGGUUGUAAGUUGACCAAACUACUUGACUCGGGUUGAUGUUGAUUGAGUUCGAGUUGAGUUCGAACUGUUCGAUACCUUGUAAGCUCGAUAAGUCUAAUUGAGCUUCUAAUAUAAAUGUUUGAUUAUAUUCUUUAUUUAAAAUUAUACAUAAAAUAUUCAUUCUUAUUAAGUGAGCUCGAGUAGGCUUACAUACACUGGAUUGAACUCAAUUAGACUUAAGUAGGCUUUAGUUGAAUUGACACUCAAGUUCAGGUAAGGUAAACUAAAAUCAAACUCAAGUUUGAGUUCAACUUCUAAAAGUUCAUUGAGCUCAAGUUCAAGAUUGAACUCAUUUAUGAUGACUCAAGUCAAGUUCAAACUCAACUCAAAAGCACCUCUGGCUACGUCGAAGUCAUCUUACUUUGAUUUUUAUCUUUUUAGUACAUAGGAAGACUACCGUCCAUUAGCUUAGUGCAAAACGUGGCAAAGCAACAUUUUCCAGAUUACGUUCCGACAAGCUUCUAAUCCCAGCUAGCGGUUCAGCAAAUCAUAUCUAGCCCCUGGAAUUCUACACACAAGACACAGGAAAGUCAUUAUCUUCCAAUGGUUUAUUUGCAGGGGGUAAUUUGUAUAUUUUCUAAUUACAGGAGAUGAUUUGCUACUCAACUCAUAUUAGAGUGGGGCAACUUAUGAUUGAGUCUAAUGUAAUUGAUACACUUUUAGAGAGAUAAAACAUAAAGUUUUGCAAGUUUCUGAAGGGUAGAAAGUCUUCAAAUUCAACUUAACUGGUGACGGUAUUAGUCAGGUGAUCUUGCGAUCUUUGUUUUGACUCAAAGUCUUGCUUUUUUCCACUUUUUUCUUGUUGGACUAAAAAAAAUAGUUCACUUCUCAACUGACUUUAAAAAAUAAAAAAAAAAGUAAAAGAUGUUUCUUAGCUGGCUUGAGUGAGCCUUAACAGGUUAUUUAAUAUGCUCUUUGGUCUUGUCUAGCGCGGUAUUUUUAGGGUUGGCCCAUGAGUAAGACUUUUAAACCCAAUAAGAAGGACCAAGAGGAAGACAAUAUUCAUCUGUUGUGCACUUUUCUUUAUUAGUUAAUUUUUGACAAAUUUUCAUCUGUUCUGCUAAGAUUGAGAUUAAAGUCUACUUGGCGAUUCCAAUUAGUAGCACAUUAGAACAAUGUUGGGUAGUAGGUGAUUAGAUAUAGUAUAGGGAGAUUUUACCAUCCAUUUUUGGUAUCAUACUCCCAAGUAAAAUUCAUCAUUAGAUGGUAAAGAAGUGUUAUUGACCUUUAAAUUAAACAUUGUUAAAUAUUUAAAAUUUAAACUAUUAUCUUUGGUUAGAGAUGCAAGUUGAGGUAAUGGUAUCCAAAAAGCAGAAUUUUCCUAUAGGUCCGGUGGAAUGGCGAUACAUUUGAAUUUUGAACCGUAUGUAAAAGUCCUUUAGUUUGUAUUUCGUAUAUGUGAUGGUAAAUCUUAUUUGUAAGAUUCAAGAGUUCCAAUUUGAUGAUUCCCAAAGGAAAAAAAAAAACUAAAUUAGAGUACAUUUUUUUAAGGUUUACCUCUACUGCAUAAGUUAUAUAGAGCAGAAUACACGAACAUUCCAACUACUCAAUGAGGGGAUACCCAGUUUAGGAAAGCCAGAUCAAACCACUUGACCAAACUACUUGAUUGGUCGAGGGUUGCAAGUUGACCAAACAACUUUACUUGACCUUGACGUUGAU